UACGAAGGGUGCAAACGUUGCUCGGAAUUAUUGGGCGUAAAGCGCACGUAGGCGGCUUUGCAAGUCGGAUGUGAAAUCCCUCGGCUUAACCAAGGAAGUGCAUCCGAAACUGCAGAGCUUGAGUACUUAAGAGGAUCGCGGAAUUCCAGGUGUAGCGGUGAAAUGCGUAGAUAUCUGGAGGAACACCGGUGGCGAAGGCGGCAUCCUGGACCGGUAUUGACGCUGAGGCGCGAAAGCCAGGGGAGCAAAGCGGG
RNAcentral lists this ribosomal RNA (254 nucleotides) under uncultured bacterium. RNAcentral's name for it is "partial 16S ribosomal RNA". It matches the Rfam family "Bacterial small subunit ribosomal RNA", at positions 524 to 777 of the family's 1533-position model. The record is from RNAcentral.